RNAcentral lists this ribosomal RNA (440 nucleotides) under uncultured bacterium. RNAcentral's name for it is "partial 16S ribosomal RNA". It matches the Rfam family "Bacterial small subunit ribosomal RNA", at positions 338 to 795 of the family's 1533-position model. The record is from RNAcentral.
CCUACGGGUGGCAGCAGUGGGGAAUAUUGCACAAUGGGGGAAACCCUGAUGCAGCGACGCCGCGUGAGUGAAGAAGUAAUUCGGUAUGUAACGCUCUAUCAGCAGGGAAGAAAAUGACGGUACCUGAGUAAGAAGCCCCGGCUAACUACGUGCCAGCAGCCGCGGUAAUACGUAGGGGGCAAGCGUUAUCCGGAUUUACUGGGUGUAAAGGGAGCGUAGUCGGCAGUGCAAGGCUGGAGUGAACGGCGGGGGCUCAACCCCCGGACUGCGCUGCAAACUGUACGGCUGGAGUGCGGGAGAGGUAAGUGGAAUUCCUAGUGUAGCGGUGAAAUGCGUAGAUAUUAGGAGGAACACCAGUGGCGAAGGCGGCUUACUGGACUGUAACUGACGUUGAGGCUCGAAAGCGUGGGGAGCAAACAGGAUUAGAUACCCGGGUAGUC